GGACAUCAAUUUUUCCAAGCAGUUAUAUGAUGAGAUUAUGGUGGAGUGGGAUGGCUUUGCCUUUUAUGUGGAAGUGGUUUAUGAGCGAUUGCUGAAUUAUUACACCAAUUGCUUCUUCAUUGGGCAUUGUUGUUAAUUUGUAACAAAUUGCACCCAAAGAAGAAGAUCCAUGUUGUAGACAAAGGCAAGAAGAUAAUGGUGAGCUUUCAUGUUGAUAGGGGACGACAACCAAUAUAGGUCCCAAAUAAACCCACUUGGGUUAGUGCAUUGGUAUUGGCUUGGGACCUGGGAGUGUGCUCCUCUUGAGGUCUGAGGUUCGAUUCUCUCUGGCGCCAAUUUGGGUGGGCUAAUUUAGCUUCUUCAAAAAAAAAAUAUAGGUCCCAAAUAAAACCCCUCACGUUGAUAUCGCCGAAAAGAAUGCGGCUAGCCAAUAAGUAAGAGAAGGUUCAAGGGUGCGCCACUCAUGAAACAACCACUCGAUCUUGAUAUGGAACAUUAUUUUCUUAAGAAUGAGGCUGCCUUUUAAGAGAAGGUUCAAGGGAGCGUCAAGAGGAACCAUCGCUCGAAGGAAGAAACAAACUAAAUUGGUCAGAAAUGCUAAUAGUCAUUACAACACUCAUUCAAAGAGUGCUCCAUAUCCCUCACUCUCUAUGAAGCAUUUCCUUCAAUUUAGAUUCUCUUAACUUUUCUUUUUCUUUUCGUUCUUGUUUUUUCUUCUUCAUGGUUUUGACAUAGUAUCCCAUGUUGUAUAUACAUAUUUUUAAUGAAAGAAAUUGGGACCAACUUAGUUAAACCUUGCAAGUAAUGAAAGGUGGAAUGAUG
RNAcentral lists this long non-coding RNA (822 nucleotides) under Trifolium pratense (red clover). RNAcentral's name for it is "long non-coding RNA (TPRA_LNC007830)". Lineage: Eukaryota; Viridiplantae; Streptophyta; Magnoliopsida; Fabales; Fabaceae. The record is from RNAcentral.